This is an RNA transcript of Nannospalax galili (Upper Galilee mountains blind mole rat), 1935 nucleotides long. It is a transcript of the gene named CTD nuclear envelope phosphatase 1 regulatory subunit 1, with no coding region annotated. The transcript has 7 exons. Lineage: Eukaryota; Metazoa; Chordata; Mammalia; Rodentia; Spalacidae. The record is from RefSeq and is a predicted model, not a curated record.
GGGGAGUUGCCGAGGAGAGCGGUUAGAGGUGGGAGUUGGCGCUGAGGGUCGGGCGGGGACAGCGGGCUGCGAUGCGGACCGGGCCGCGGCGGUGACCGGAGUUGCCGCCCGACAUGAACUCGCUGGAACAGGCGGAAGAUCUCAAGGCUUUUGAGAGAAGACUUACCGAAUAUAUUCAUUGCUUGCAACCUGCCACUGGGCGUUGGAGAAUGCUUCUUAUAGUGGUGUCUGUCUGUACAGCUACUGGUGCCUGGAACUGGCUAAUAGAUCCUGAGACACAAAAGGUGUCCUUCUUCACGUCAUUAUGGAAUCAUCCAUUUUUCACAAUUAGCUGUAUUACUCUAAUAGGCUUGUUCUUUGCGGGAAUACACAAGAGAGUAGUUGCACCAUCAAUUAUAGCUGCUCGAUGUCGAACAAUAUUAGCAGAAUACAAUAUGUCUUGCGAUGAUAUCCCUAUACUUCACAUGGUGUCUGGCACAUGGUAGAUAACCAAGCAGUGCUGAACAAACGUGUUAGUGACAUCUUUGUGUGAAUUCUUCCACCUGAACCUAGUUUCCUUCAGGUAAACGUCUAGGAGUAAAAGUUUACUUUUAUGACAGGAAAACUAAUUUUGAAACCUAGGCCUCAUGUUCAAUGACAGUCUGCACUCAUUGUUAGGGGACCUGAAACAGUUUUUCUUCCAAGAAGUGAUACAACAAAAAGCCAUAGAGGAUUCCUUUGGGAGCUGGAUAAGUGGAGCUGCGGUAGCAGCUGACAAGAAGUGUGCAAUAGUCCCCAGACUGUUGUGAUGAUGAUGGCUGACCUCUCAGUGCUUCUCUACCUGUGAUUACCUGUGCUCAGUAUUAGUGUCACUUUAGUACUUCAGCUCCUGCAAAGAUUUUUGCAGCUGAAGUGUGUAUGUAUGUUACUAAGUUAAACCUAGAAACCAAACCACAUUCAGUUUUUAUAAUGUAUUUUUGCAAACUACUGUAAAUAGCAAAUCAAUGCCAAUGUAAAACCAAGAGGAAAAUGUGUGGACUCUGUUUUCCUGCACCAGUAUUUCAGGAACAUCUGCUUGACAUCCCUACAGCUCCUUAAAACUGGCUAUUGUGUGUGCCUUUCAUUCUUAACCCCUCUUUUUGUUGCACUGCAGGAAAAAUAUCAAAUUCCACUUCAACUGAGCAGAACUCAUCUCCAUUAUGUUGUAAGAAAUUGUAGAUGUUUCGACAAACAAGUUUUGUUAAAUUCAGUACUGAAUUCCAGAAACUAUUGUGGUUAUAUUUUUCAGUUCAUUGUUUUCAUUUAACACUAAAUUACUUUAUAUGUUUUUUAAGAAUUAAAAAAAAGCCCAAAGUCUUCUGAUUCUAAAAGUUUAAAUUAUGUAUUGUCUGAGAAUUUGACGGUCAUCAUUUUAGGUAAUUGGAUUUUACGCUGUGGUAGACAUGUCAUUACACUAGUCCUGCCCUGGUGUAGCUGAUGGUUCCAGUCCAUCGCCACUAACUUGAGAGCCAUGCCACAAACUAAAGUCUGCAGUACUCACUGUUAAGGAGUGUUAAUGACAUACUGUGUAUGUGUAACAGCCAUCUGUACUAUAGUAGCCCUGAAAAUUAAACUAUUGGGAUUCUUGUAAAUAUUUUAAAGUACUGGAGGUGCCUUUUAACCUGUUUAUUAGAUUUUUGAAAAGGUUUAAAUUAUUUCAUGAGAAAUGUUUUAAAUUUCAUCUAACAUGAAGCUGAAAUUUGAAUAAUAGGACAAAAACUUUUUAAUAAAGCUGCCAUUUAACUUGCCUGAUUUCAUCUUGGCUUUCAUGUGUAUAAAACUGCAUUCUUUUAACUGCAGCAAUAAAACCCGCAGCUGCUGAGAAGUCUUAAGAGGAUGUUGUAUGUUCUGCUUUUAUAUUCUGUAAAUUUUGUAGGUAAAUAUGUGCAUAAGAAUAAAUACUUUAUAUAUAACUAG